GGUGAGCACGUCAGGGGUGGGGGGCGCAGGUCAAGCUUUCACCAGUUUUUAAUUCUUUGAUGGGGUAAAUUUGAGCAAUUUUCUCGACUUGUCGACAUUCGUUAUUAACUGAGCAGGAAUCAGGAGAGGAACCCGGUCCUCUCCACACAGCCCAGCAGAGAGCCUACGACUAGAUUUGCAUCUUUACGUCCUGCGCGGAGGCUGCUACACACAUGCAGAAGUCAUGCUGGUGGCCUGGACAGUGAAGGGAGAGAAGUGGAUUUGGGAGACAUUUAGGAGUGCUACUUUAGUCUCUGAGCUAAUUUUCAUGAAGCCAAUCUAAAAAUCAUGUUACUUCUAAAGAUGUGGAGCGAGUGAGAUGAACAGUUGUGCUGUCAUAUUGCCCCUCCCCAGUGCAGAUAGUGAAUGAGGACCCACUGAUUUAAAGGCAACACUGCAGCCCCUUCUUGCUUCAUUGAAGUCCCAAGUUUUAUUACAGUAAAAGCACUUAAUGUUGACAUUUCUGAAAGAAUGAAGAGGCCGGGCACGGCGGCUCACGCCGGUAAUCCCAGCACUUUGGGAGACUGAGGCAAGCGGAUCAUGAGGUCAGGACAU
This 594-nucleotide long non-coding RNA is filed under the name Pan troglodytes (chimpanzee). Its description in RNAcentral is "long non-coding RNA NONPTRT009690". Lineage: Eukaryota; Metazoa; Chordata; Mammalia; Primates; Hominidae. The record is from RNAcentral.